RNAcentral lists this transfer RNA (71 nucleotides) under Capra hircus (goat). It matches the Rfam family "tRNA". From Rfam's summary of the family: Transfer RNA (tRNA) molecules are approximately 80 nucleotides in length. Their secondary structure includes four short double-helical elements and three loops (D, anti-codon, and T loops). Further hydrogen bonds mediate the characteristic L-shaped molecular structure. tRNAs have two regions of fundamental functional importance: the anti-codon, which is responsible for specific mRNA codon recognition, and the 3' end, to which the tRNAs corresponding amino acid is attached (by aminoacyl-tRNA synthetases). tRNAs cope with the degeneracy of the genetic code in two manners: having more than one tRNA (with a specific anti-codon) for a particular amino acid; and 'wobble' base-pairing, i.e. permitting non-standard base-pairing at the 3rd anti-codon position. RNAcentral also lists the same sequence under 1 other name. The record is from Rfam by way of RNAcentral. Lineage: Eukaryota; Metazoa; Chordata; Mammalia; Artiodactyla; Bovidae.
UCCCUGAUAGCUCAGUUGGUAAAGAAUCCGCCUGCAAUGCAGAAGACCUUGGUUCAAUUCCUGUCAGGAAG